RNAcentral lists this ribosomal RNA (440 nucleotides) under uncultured bacterium. RNAcentral's name for it is "partial 16S ribosomal RNA". It matches the Rfam family "Bacterial small subunit ribosomal RNA", at positions 338 to 795 of the family's 1533-position model. The record is from RNAcentral.
CCUACGGGAGGCAGCAGUAGGGAAUAUUGCUCAAUGGGGGAAACCCUGAAGCAGCAACGCCGCGUGGAGGAUGAAGGUUUUAGGAUUGUAAACUCCUUUUGUUAGAGAAGAUUAUGACGGUAUCUAACGAAUAAGCACCGGCUAACUCCGUGCCAGCAGCCGCGGUAAUACGGAGGGUGCAAGCGUUACUCGGAAUCACUGGGCGUAAAGAGUGCGUAGGCGGGGUAAUAAGUCAGAUGUGAAAUCCUGUGGCUUAACUACAGAACUGCAUUUGAAACUGUUACUCUGGAGUGUGUGAGAGGUAGGUGGAAUUCUUGGUGUAGGGGUAAAAUCCGUAGAGAUCAAGAGGAAUACUCAUUGCGAAGGCGACCUGCUGGAACAUUACUGACGCUGAUGCACGAAAGCGUGGGGAGCAAACAGGAUUAGAUACCCCUGUAGUC